RNAcentral lists this ribosomal RNA (431 nucleotides) under Saccharomycetales sp. RNAcentral describes it as "SSU rRNA". It matches the Rfam family "Eukaryotic small subunit ribosomal RNA", at positions 1341 to 1791 of the family's 1831-position model. Lineage: Eukaryota; Fungi; Ascomycota; Saccharomycetes; Saccharomycetales. The record is from RNAcentral.
CCUUAACCUACUAAAUAGCGCGACUAGCUUUUGCUGGUGCUGACGCUUCUUAGAGGGACUAUCGAUUUCAAGUCGAUGGAAGUUUGAGGCAAUAACAGGUCUGUGAUGCCCUUAGACGUUCUGGGCCGCACGCGCGCUACACUGACGGAGCCAGCGAGUCUAGCCUUGGCCGAGAGGUCAUGGGUAAUCUUGUGAAACUCCGUCGUGCUGGGGAUAGAGCAUUGCAAUUAUUGCUCUUCAACGAGGAAUUCCUAGUAAGCGCAAGUCAUCAGCUUGCGUUGAUUACGUCCCUGCCCUUUGUACACACCGCCCGUCGCUACUACCGAUUGAAUGGCUUAGUGAGGCUUCAGGAUUGGCUUAUGGCGGGAGGCGACUCCUGCCUGGAGCCGAGAAUCUAGUCAAACUUGGUCAUUUAGAGGAAGUAAAAGUCG